Molecule: ribosomal RNA, 500 nt
Filed under: uncultured bacterium
Lineage: Bacteria
Description: partial 16S ribosomal RNA
Rfam family: Bacterial small subunit ribosomal RNA
Source: RNAcentral
AUUGAACGCUGGCGGCAGGCCUAACACAUGCAAGUCGAGCGGAUGAGAGGAGCAUGCUCCUCGAUUCAGCGGCGGACGGGUGAGUAAUGCCUAGGAAUCUGCCUAGUAGUGGGGGACAACGUUUCGAAAGGAACGCUAAUACCGCAUACGUCCUACGGGAGAAAGUGGGGGAUCUUCGGACCUCACGCUAUUAGAUGAGCCUAGGUCGGAUUAGCUAGUUGGUAGGGUAAAGGCCUACCAAGGCGACGAUCCGUAACUGGUCUGAGAGGAUGAUCAGUCACACUGGAACUGAGACACGGUCCAGACUCCUACGGGAGGCAGCAGUGGGGAAUAUUGGACAAUGGGCGAAAGCCUGAUCCAGCCAUGCCGCGUGUGUGAAGAAGGCCUUCGGGUCGUAAAGCACUUUAAGUUGGGAGGAAGGGCUCAUAGCGAAUACCUGUGAGUUUUGACGUUACCAACAGAAUAAGCACCGGCUAACUUCGUGCCAGCAGCCGCCGCCG